RNAcentral lists this non-coding RNA (253 nucleotides) under uncultured bacterium. Its description in RNAcentral is "partial 16S ribosomal RNA". It matches the Rfam family "Bacterial small subunit ribosomal RNA", at positions 524 to 776 of the family's 1533-position model. The record is from RNAcentral. RNAcentral also lists the same sequence under 1 other name.
GACAGAGGGUGCAAACGUUGUUCGGAAUUACUGGGCGUAAAGCGCGUGUAGGCGGCCCUGCAAGUCGGAUGUGAAAUCCCACGGCUCAACCAUGGAAGUGCAUUCGAAACUGCAGAGCUAGAGUCCUGGAGAGGAAGGUGGAAUGCUUGGUGUAGAGGUGAAAUUCGUAGAUAUCAAGCGGAACACCGGUGGCGAAGGCGGCCUUCUGGACAGUGACUGACGCUGAGACGCGAAAGCGUGGGGAGCAAACAGG